UAAGCGGUUGAAGGUGUGUGGUAACGCAUGCUGGACGUAUCAGAAGUGCGAAUGCUGACAUGAGUAACGAUAAAGGGGGUGAAAAACCUCCUCGCCGGAAGACCAAGGGUUCCUGUCCAACGUUAAUCGGGGCAGGGUAAGUCGACCCCUAAGGCGAGGCCGAAAGGCGUAGUCGAUGGGAAACGGGUUAAUAUUCCCGUACUUCUUACAAUUGCGAUGGGGGGACGGAGAAGGCUAGGUGGGCCUGGCGACGGUUGUCCAGGUUCAAGUGCGUAGGCUUGAGAGUUAGGUAAAUCCGGCUCUCUUUAAGGCUGAGACACGACGUCGAGCACCUACGGGUGUGAAGUCAUUGAUGCCAUGCUUCCAGGAAAAGCCUCUAAGCUUCAGAUUGUAAGGAAUCGUACCCCAAACCGACACAGGUGGUCGGGUAGAGAAUACCAAGGCGCUUGAGAGAACUCGGGUGAAGGAACUAGGCAAAAUGGUACCGUAACUUCGGGAGAAGGUACGCUCUUGAUGGUGAAGUCCCUUGCGGAUGGAGCUGACGAGAGUCGCAGAUACCAGGUGGCUGCAACUGUUUAUUAAAAACACAGCACUGUGCAAAAUCGUAAGAUGACGUAUACGGUGUGACGCCUGCCCGGUGCCGGAAGGUUAAUUGAUGGGGUUAGACUUCGGUCGAAGCUCUUGAUCGAAGCCCCGGUAAACGGCGGCCGUAACUAUAACGGUCCUAAGGUAGCGAAAUUCCUUGUCGGGUAAGUUCCGACCUGCACGAAUGGCGUAAUGAUGGCCACGCUGUCUCCACCCGAGACUCAGUGAAAUUGAAAUCGCUGUGAAGAUGCAGUGUACCCGCGGCUAGACGGAAAGACCCCGUGAACCUUUACUACAGCUUGGCACUGAACAUUGACCCUACAUGUGUAGGAUAGGUGGGAGGCUUUGAAGCACGUACGCCAGUAUGUGUGGAGCCGUCCUUGAAAUACCACCCUUGUAGUGUUGAUGUUCUAACGUCGACCCCUUAUCGGGGUUGCGGACAGUGCCUGGUGGGUAGUUUGACUGGGGCGGUCUCCUCCCAAAGAGUAACGGAGGAGCACGAAGGUGGGCUAAUCACGGUUGGACAUCGUGAGGUUAGUGCAAUGGCAUAAGCCCGCUUGACUGCGAGAAUGACAAUUCGAGCAGGUGCGAAAGCAGGUCAUAGUGAUCCGGUGGUUCUGAAUGGAAGGGCCAUCGCUCAACGGAUAAAAGGUACUCCGGGGAUAACAGGCUGAUACCGCCCAAGAGUUCAUAUCGACGGCGGUGUUUGGCACCUCGAUGUCGGCUCAUCACAUCCUGGGGCUGAAGUCGGUCCCAAGGGUAUGGCUGUUCGCCAUUUAAAGUGGUACGCGAGCUGGGUUUAGAACGUCGUGAGACAGUUCGGUCCCUAUCUGCCGUGGGCGUUGGAAGAUUGAAGGGGGCUGCUCCUAGUACGAGAGGACCGGAGUGGACGAACCUCUGGUGUUCGGGUUGUGUCGCCAGACGCAUUGCCCGGUAGCUAAGUUCGGAAUCGAUAACCGCUGAAAGCAUCUAAGCGGGAAGCGAGCCCUGAGAUGAGUCUUCCCUGAUACUUUAAGUAUCCUAAAGGGUUGUCGGAGACUACGACGUUGAUAGGUCAGGUGUGUAAGUGCUGUGAGGCAUUGAGCUAACUGAUACUAAUUGCCCGUGAGGCUUAACCAUACAACAC
Molecule: ribosomal RNA, 1711 nt
Filed under: Vibrio parahaemolyticus
Lineage: Bacteria; Pseudomonadati; Pseudomonadota; Gammaproteobacteria; Vibrionales; Vibrionaceae
Description: partial 23S ribosomal RNA
Rfam family: Bacterial large subunit ribosomal RNA
Source: RNAcentral